Molecule: unclassified non-coding RNA, 387 nt
Filed under: fungal sp.
Lineage: Eukaryota; Fungi
Description: partial internal transcribed spacer region
Rfam family: Eukaryotic small subunit ribosomal RNA (bases 1-46)
Source: RNAcentral
AAGUCGUAACAAGGUUUCCGUAGGUGAACCUGCGGAAGGAUCAUUAACACGUAUCCAAACGUUAAUACAACCCUGUGAACCUUCAGCGUGUUCUUGCAGGACAUCAAAACAGCAAUCCCGAGUAAAUCAUUACAGAUUUUGAUUUUGGGAAGUUCUGUCUGUCCGUGGACGCUGCAAUUGAGCGCUAGAUAAAGCACCCUGGUACCCUAGAGCAUCCCCUGUCUGAAAGCGGCAGGGAUCAAUGUUCAGGGUGGCGUAGGUCCACACGACCGGCGACCGGGGUGGAGGCGAAAGCCCCUACGUCAUCCCUAUGUACCCUCCGGGACUUGGCGAAAGCUGACUCCGUCAUAAAUUGAACAACUGUCAACAAUGGAUAUCUUGGUUCUC